This is a non-coding RNA of Taeniopygia guttata (zebra finch), 1615 nucleotides long. The record is from RefSeq and is a predicted model, not a curated record. NCBI's taxonomy places the organism in Eukaryota, Metazoa, Chordata, Aves, Passeriformes, Estrildidae.
UCUGAGGAAAAAAAAAAGAGAAAGACCACUAAAUUAUUAUAAACAUGCACAAAAUUAAAUUUUCUGAAAUAACACUUGACAAUCUUGCCUAAAAAGAAGUAAGCAGGAAAGUGGUCAGUUCCAGUGCUCUUGACUAGCACGGACAAAUAGGAGCACUGAGUUUUUGGCAGGUUGGAAAAGGAGCUCAAACAGCAACCUUCAGCACAGGGCUCAGCUGGGAAGGGUCCAAAGGAGAACAGCAAGGACCCUGGCAGUUCCUAAAGGGACUCAUAAAGGAAACUGACAGAUUGCAUUGGCCUAAUCUGAGGAAGAAGAUGAAGAUGGUGAUGUGAUAAAUCUGCAAGUACGUGAUCUGGGGCCUUUUAAUACUAAAAUGUGACCUCUGUUUUACAGCAAACCGAACCCUAUGAGCAGAAUUAGUGCUCAAAUCUGUUGUUUGAGCUGAAAUAGCCAUGUAGGUGGCAGUCCAGAAUUCAUCCAGGCCAGCAGACAGGAGCAGACAAGGCCACAGUUUCAAAGUGGAAACCAAUACAUAAAUUUUUGCUGGAUCAAAACAAAAACAUUAUCAACAUCCUAACAUUGGGAAUAAACACUGCAGUGCAUACACUUCUGUCAAACAUAUUAUAACAUUAACAUUUAUUAAUGUGAAUAUAUGCCACUGGAUAAAUGAAGUAGGCACUUGAUGAGUUUGAUGUUUUUUCCAAUCAAAUAUCUGGAAAUUAAAGUAAAACUUAAAAAAAAAAUUGAGAAAGAAGAUGCCUGAAAAGAAAAUUCACCUUUACAAGGAGCAAGAUGAUGUUUUCUUUACUUCAAAAUUUUACUGUUCUGCAAAGGAUACAGUGAUGAUUUAAUUACCAAAAAAAAAAAAAAAAAAAAAAAAAACAACAAAAAAAAAAACCAAAAAAAAUAGAGCAAAUAGUAUAAAGUUAUAGAGCAUAAUUUUUCAAAAUCAAGUUUUCAGUAAGGCCUGGCAUACACUUCCUUGUAGAAUUUUCUUAUCAAUUUUGUGCAUUCCACAAAUAUUUGGGAUUACAUCAGGUUUUGCUACCCUCACAGUUCAGCCUAAUUUCCUGUUUGAUCAAACUGGGGAGAAAUGACAGGAUUUUGUUUAACAAUAGUUCUGUGCUAACACAGGCCCAGGAUUAUGAAACUCCUGAAGGACAAGGCAGCACAGAGGGUGUCCAUGGUGUUAAGGAAGCUUUGAUCAGGUACAGUGACCUCAACCACAGCCAGGAAGUGCUGACUGUUGCAGCUGUUACUAGCAAACAAACAAGGAAACGUGGGAUAAGGAGGAAGGAGUGUCUGAAAACUUCAAAACUAAAUAAGUGAUCAAAAGCAUAAAACCCAAGCCAAAAUCCCAACCCAAACCCACAUUUAAAAAGCUGUUCUGCAGAAGAUUUUCUCAUGACUGAAAGUGCCCAUUUCAGGCCAAUCCCUGGAUACUGCAAUUUUCUGUAACUGCUGUUUUCACUUACUUGGGGAGUCUGGAUUCUUUGAAGACUGUGGUUUCACAUCAGGGAUUGCAACAUCAUCUUGUUCCCUGCUCCCUUCCAGCAAUCCAUCCCCACUGUUUUCUGUCUGUUGGGUCCACACCUCCUUAGCUGUGUUGUUGGUA